RNAcentral lists this long non-coding RNA (210 nucleotides) under Penaeus japonicus. RNAcentral's name for it is "uncharacterized LOC122261111". The record is from RNAcentral. Lineage: Eukaryota; Metazoa; Arthropoda; Malacostraca; Decapoda; Penaeidae.
ACCGCGGGAUCAAUAUGUAAAAAGCUAGCGUGUGAGCUUCAGAGCGUUGUUUACAAUCAUGGCUGGCUCUCGUGUCUCGUGCGGUCUCGAGUGCAGUAAUAUUUACGAGUUAAAUGACAGUCUCCAGGAAUCGUCAAAGGCUGGAUAUGAUUUCCUCUCCAUUCCUCUGGCACAUCCGCGAUUCACAAGGGAACAUGUAGACGGAAAAGC